CGUAGCCACGGUAAAACGGAGGGGGCUAGCGUUGUUCGGAAUUACUGGGCGUAAAGCGCACGUAGGCGGCUUGGUAAGUUAGAGGUGAAAGCCCGGAGCUCAACUCCGGAAUUGCCUUUAAGACUGCCGAGCUAGUAGGUGAGAGAGGUAAGUGGAAUUCCGAGUGUAGAGGUGAAAUUCGUAGAUAUUCGGAAGAACACCAGUGGCGAAGGCGGCUUACUGGCUCAUUCUAGACGCUGAGGUGCGAAAGCGUGGGGAGCAAACAGGAUUAGAUACCCCAGUAGUCCCUGUCUCUUAUACA
Molecule: ribosomal RNA, 301 nt
Filed under: uncultured bacterium
Lineage: Bacteria
Description: partial 16S ribosomal RNA
Rfam family: Bacterial small subunit ribosomal RNA
Source: RNAcentral